GACGAACCGAGCGAACGUUAUUCGGAAUCACUGGGCUUAAAGGGUGCGUAGGCGGGCCCGUCAGUCAGGGGUGAAAUCCCACGGCCCAACCGUGGAAGUGCCUCUGAUACUGCGGGCCUGGAGGGGGAUAGGGGCGUGCGGAACUUCCGGUGGAGCGGUGAAAUGCGUAGAUAUCGGAAGGAACACCGGUGGCGAAAGCGGCGCGCUGGAUCCCUACUGACGCUGAGGCGCGAAAGCUAGGGGAGCAAACAGG
RNAcentral lists this ribosomal RNA (253 nucleotides) under uncultured bacterium. RNAcentral describes it as "partial 16S ribosomal RNA". It matches the Rfam family "Bacterial small subunit ribosomal RNA", at positions 524 to 776 of the family's 1533-position model. The record is from RNAcentral.